GGGUUGUGAGGUUAAGCGACUAAGCGUACACGGUGGAUGCCCUGGCAGUCAGAGGCGAUGAAGGACGUGCUAAUCUGCGAAAAGCGUCGGUAAGGUGAUAUGAACCGUUAUAGCCGGCGAUGUCCGAAUGGGGAAACCCAGUGCAAUUCGUUGCACUAUCGUUAACUGAAUACAUAGGUUAACGAGGCGAACCGGGGGAACUGAAACAUCUAAGUACCCCGAGGAAAAGAAAUCAACCGAGAUUCCCCCAGUAGCGGCGAGCGAACGGGGAGCAGCCCAGAGUCUGAAUCAGCUUGUGUGUUAGUGGAACGGUCUGGAAAGUCCGACGGUACAGGGUGAUAGUCCCGUACACCAAAAUGCACAGGUUGUGAACUCGAAGAGUAGGGCGGGACACGUGGUAUCCUGUCUGAAUAUGGGGGGACCAUCCUCCAAGGCUAAAUACUCCUGACUGACCGAUAGUGAACCAGUACCGUGAGGGAAAGGCGAAAAGAACCCCGGCGAGGGGAGUGAAAAAGAACCUGAAACCGUGUACGUACAAGCAGUGGGAGCACCUUCGGGUGUGACUGCGUACCUUUUGUAUAAUGGGUCAGCGACUUAUAUUCUGUAGCAAGGUUAACCGUAUAGGGGAGCCGCAGGGAAACCGAGUCUUAACUGGGCGUUAAGUUGCAGGGUAUAGACCCGAAACCCGGUGAUCUAGCCAUGGGCAGGUUGAAGGUUGGGUAACACUAACUGGAGGACCGAACCGACUAAUGUUGAAAAAUUAGCGGAUGACUUGUGGCUGGGGGUGAAAGGCCAAUCAAACCGGGAGAUAGCUGGUUCUCCCCGAAAGCUAUUUAGGUAGCGCCUCGUGAACUCAUCUUCGGGGGUAGAGCACUGUUUCGGCUAGGGGGUCAUCCCGACUUACCAACCCGAUGCAAACUACGAAUACCGAAGAAUGUUAUCACGGGAGACACACGGCGGGUGCUAACGUCCGUCGUGAAGAGGGAAACAACCCAGACCGCCAGCUAAGGUCCCAAAGUCAUGGUUAAGUGGGAAACGAUGUGGGAAGGCACAGACAGCCAGGAUGUUGGCUUAGAAGCAGCCAUCAUUUAAAGAAAGCGUAAUAGCUCACUGGUCGAGUCGGCCUGCGCGGAAGAUGUAACGGGGCUAAACCAUGCACCGAAGCUGCGGCAGCGACACUAUGUGUUGUUGGGUAGGGGAGCGUUCUGUAAGCCUGCGAAGGUGUGCUGUGAGGCAUGCUGGAGGUAUCAGAAGUGCGAAUGCUGACAUAAGUAACGAUAAAGCGGGUGAAAAGCCCGCUCGCCGGAAGACCAAGGGUUCCUGUCCAACGUUAAUCGGGGCAGGGUGAGUCGACCCCUAAGGCGAGGCCGAAAGGCGUAGUCGAUGGGAAACAGGUUAAUAUUCCUGUACUUGGUGUUACUGCGAAGGGGGGACGGAGAAGGCUAUGUUAGCCGGGCGACGGUUGUCCCGGUUUAAGCAUGUAGGCUGGUUAUCCAGGCAAAUCCGGAUAAUCAAGGCUGAGGUGUGAUGACGAGGCACUACGGUGCUGAAGUAACAAAUGCCCUGCUUCCAGGAAAAGCCUCUAAGCAUCAGGUAACAUCAAAUCGUACCCCAAACCGACACAGGUGGUCAGGUAGAGAAUACCAAGGCGCUUGAGAGAACUCGGGUGAAGGAACUAGGCAAAAUGGUGCCGUAACUUCGGGAGAAGGCACGCUGGUGUGUAGGUGAAGCCCCUGCGGGUGGAGCUGAGACCAGUCGAAGAUACCAGCUGGCUGCAACUGUUUAUUAAAAACACAGCACUGUGCAAACACGAAAGUGGACGUAUACGGUGUGACGCCUGCCCGGUGCCGGAAGGUUAAUUGAUGGGGUUAUCCGUAAGGAGAAGCUCUUGAUCGAAGCCCCGGUAAACGGCGGCCGUAACUAUAACGGUCCUAAGGUAGCGAAAUUCCUUGUCGGGUAAGUUCCGACCUGCACGAAUGGCGUAAUGAUGGCCAGGCUGUCUCCACCCGAGACUCAGUGAAAUUGAACUCGCUGUGAAGAUGCAGUGUACCCGCGGCAAGACGGAAAGACCCCGUGAACCUUUACUAUAGCUUGACACUGAACAUUGAGCCUUGAUGUGUAGGAUAGGUGGGAGGCUUUGAAGCGUGGACGCCAGUCUGCGUGGAGCCAACCUUGAAAUACCACCCUUUAAUGUUUGAUGUUCUAACGUUGGCCCCUUACCGGGGUUGCGGACAGUGUCUGGUGGGUAGUUUGACUGGGGCGGUCUCCUCCCAAAGCGUAACGGAGGAGCACGAAGGUUAGCUAAUCCUGGUCGGACAUCAGGAGGUUAGUGCAAUGGCAUAAGCUAGCUUGACUGCGAGCGUGACGGCGCGAGCAGGUGCGAAAGCAGGUCAUAGUGAUCCGGUGGUUCUGAAUGGAAGGGCCAUCGCUCAACGGAUAAAAGGUACUCCGGGGAUAACAGGCUGAUACCGCCCAAGAGUUCAUAUCGACGGCGGUGUUUGGCACCUCGAUGUCGGCUCAUCACAUCCUGGGGCUGAAGUAGGUCCCAAGGGUAUGGCUGUUCGCCAUUUAAAGUGGUACGCGAGCUGGGUUUAGAACGUCGUGAGACAGUUCGGUCCCUAUCUGCCGUGGGCGCUGGAGAAUUGAGGGGGGCUGCUCCUAGUACGAGAGGACCGGAGUGGACGCAUCACUGGUGUUCGGGUUGUCAUGCCAAUGGCACUGCCCGGUAGCUAAAUGCGGAAGAGAUAAGUGCUGAAAGCAUCUAAGCACGAAACUUGCCCCGAGAUGAGUUCUCCCUGAGACUUUAAGUCUCCUGAAGGAACGUUGAAGACGACGACGUUGAUAGGCCGGGUGUGUAAGCGCAGCGAUGCGUUGAGCUAACCGGUACUAAUGAACCGUGAGGCUUAACCUUACAACGCCGAAG
Molecule: ribosomal RNA, 2923 nt
Filed under: Klebsiella pneumoniae
Lineage: Bacteria; Pseudomonadati; Pseudomonadota; Gammaproteobacteria; Enterobacterales; Enterobacteriaceae
Description: 23S ribosomal RNA
Rfam family: Bacterial large subunit ribosomal RNA
Source: RNAcentral